UGGGCAACCUCGCCCCUACUCGUCUGGGAUAACCCCCGGGAAACCGGAGCUAAUACCGGAUACUCCGGCUGG
RNAcentral lists this ribosomal RNA (72 nucleotides) under uncultured bacterium. Its description in RNAcentral is "partial 16S ribosomal RNA". The record is from RNAcentral.